UAAGGCUAGUACUUUGAAAAAGAAAGAGAAGUAGUUCCAAUAUAUCUCUCUAGAGAUCUCUAGUAGUGUUAG
RNAcentral lists this transfer RNA (72 nucleotides) under Pinus taeda (loblolly pine). RNAcentral's name for it is "tRNA-Gly". The record is from RNAcentral. RNAcentral also lists the same sequence under 1 other name. Lineage: Eukaryota; Viridiplantae; Streptophyta; Pinopsida; Pinales; Pinaceae.